ACCUGAGUGGCUCAGUCGGUUGAGCGUCCGACUUCAGCUCGGGUCACGAUCUCACGGUUCGUGGGUUCGAGCCCCACGUCAGGCU
Molecule: transfer RNA, 85 nt
Filed under: Felis catus (domestic cat)
Lineage: Eukaryota; Metazoa; Chordata; Mammalia; Carnivora; Felidae
Rfam family: tRNA
About the family: Transfer RNA (tRNA) molecules are approximately 80 nucleotides in length.
Source: Rfam by way of RNAcentral